GAUGAACGCUGGCGGCGUGCCUAAUACAUGCAAGUCGAGCGAACGGACGAGAAGCUUGCUUCUCUGAUGUUAGCGGCGGACGGGUGAGUAACACGUGGAUAGCCUACCUAUAAGACUGGGAUAACUUCGGGAAACCGGAGCUAAUACCGGAUAAUAUUUUGAACCGCAUGGUUCAAAAGUGAAAGACGGUCUUGCUGUCACUUAUAGAUGGAUCCGCGCUGCAUUAGCUAGUUGGUAAGGUAACGGCUUACCAAGGCAACGAUGCAUAGCCGACCUGAGAGGGUGAUCGGCCACACUGGAACUGAGACACGGUCCAGACUCCUACGGGAGGCAGCAGUAGGGAAUCUUCCGCAAUGGGCGAAAGCCUGACGGAGCAACGCCGCGUGAGUGAUGAAGGUCUUCGGAUCGUAAAACUCUGUUAUUAGGGAAGAACAUAUGUGUAAGUAACUGUGCACAUCUUGACGGUACCUAAUCAGAAAGCCCCGGCUAACUACGUG
This 497-nucleotide ribosomal RNA is filed under the name uncultured bacterium. RNAcentral describes it as "partial 16S ribosomal RNA". It matches the Rfam family "Bacterial small subunit ribosomal RNA", at positions 28 to 507 of the family's 1533-position model. The record is from RNAcentral.